Cinara cedri is the source of this 1173-nucleotide non-coding RNA. The record is from the annotation of a GenBank genome assembly. NCBI's taxonomy places the organism in Eukaryota, Metazoa, Arthropoda, Insecta, Hemiptera, Aphididae.
CCGGCGUCUAUAAUUUUAAAUUCUUCAUUUACUGAAAAUGAAUAAUGUAUUUAAAAUUAUUUAGUAUUCAUAAUAAAAAUAAUAUACUCGUACACUUAAUAAAUUAUAUGUACAUAAGUAUAAUAAUGAAAUAUAAAUUAAUUAAUACAAUGAGGACCUAUAUUAUUUUGGAUCUUAGGAGGACUGCUACAUCAGAACACAAACCAGAAUUAUUUUUGAAAAUUAAACACUCACUUUUAUUUGAUUGUAUUAUAUUUGUCGAUUUUCAACGUUUUUCUCAACUAUCUUAAAACCCCAGACCACAAGUUAAUGUCAAUACGUUGAUUUCAUUUUUAUUGAUUUCUGGGUUAUCACCUACAAGGGAAGAAAACUAAUUCAUGUUACAACCUUACCAGUUUAUCGAGUUCCACUCAGAAUAGAUUUUUGAUUUCAAUAAUUUAUUGUUUGUUUCAUUAUACAACAGUGGCCUACCAAGGCCAACGUUAGUGAUUUUUACUCGUAGGCAAGACCAAAUUUUUCCUCUCCAAUACAAUUCACUAAUAGAAUUUUAGGGUACUAAUAUAUUUUUUAAUGAGCCUAAAAAAACUCGUUGUGCUUUUGCUAAUUUAACAAAUUAUAUCAAAAUUUAAGUGUCCUGUUUUGGUUCGAAUUAAAUAAAUUAUUGGUAGGGAUGGGUGAGAUACUUCAAAACUUGUAAAAAAUAUAACAGAUCAAACAGUUAUUAAAUAACGUUAAAGUAUCUUACCGAUUACUAUCACAAGUAGGUAUAUAAUAUUUUAUUAAAUUCAAUUUUCAUAUAACUAAUUGUUCAAAAUAAAUAGUGAAUAUACAUUUUAAAAAUGACGGAUAUAAUUCAUUCCGUGAGUAGCCCACUAUUGUAGAUAGGUAAUUAGUUUGGAAGGUAAAAUAAAUCAUUAUAAUCAAAACAAUUUCUGAGUUGAGCUCUGUAAACUGGUUAGGUGUGUUUUUUUCUCCAAUAACAAAGGUAAUUUGGAAAUCAACAAAAAAUAAAACCAAUGUAUCGAUAUUAGUUGUUAGGUUUUUUUAAUUUUUAGAAGAAUCAUAUGAUGUCUAGAAAAAUUACUCAAAUAAAGUGAUAUCGGGUGAAAUAUCUAUAUAUUUUGAAGUACAAUUUGAACAAUUGAAAACAUUUUUACUAAUCGAAAAAGUUUU